This 253-nucleotide ribosomal RNA is filed under the name uncultured bacterium. Its description in RNAcentral is "partial 16S ribosomal RNA". It matches the Rfam family "Bacterial small subunit ribosomal RNA", at positions 524 to 776 of the family's 1533-position model. The record is from RNAcentral.
UACGAAGGGGGCUAGCGUUGCUCGGAAUCACUGGGCGUAAAGGGCGCGUAGGCGGUUCUUUAAGUCAGGGGUGAAAUCCUGGAGCUCAACUCCAGAACUGCCUUUGAUACUGAGGAUCUUGAGUUCGGGAGAGGUGAGUGGAACUGCGAGUGUAGAGGUGAAAUUCGUAGAUAUUCGCAAGAACACCAGUGGCGAAGGCGGCUCACUGGCCCGAUACUGACGCUGAGGCACGAAAGCGUGGGGAGCAAACAGG